GCUUCCCACCUUGCCCGAGCCCGCCCCUAGCCAGUGGUUCUCCACGCACCCAGCAUCCAGCGAGAGUCGCAGCGCGCCGACGGAGCGGACAUGGGCAAAGCGAUGGUGGCCAGGCUCGGACUGGGGCUGCUGCUUCUGGCGCUGCUCUUACCCACGCAGAUUUAUUCAAAUCAAACAACUGCCAUAACACUUUCAAGUAACUCCACCCAGAGUACCUCGGCUGCCCCAAGUACAACUAAUGUCACCACCCCAGGAGGUGGUGCCCUGCAGUCUACAGCCAGCCUCCUCGUGAUCUCACUCUCCCUUUUACAUCUUUACUGCUAAGAGACUCAGGUCAAGAAACAUCUAUGCUUCCCCAUCUUCUGAACCCAACCCAAAUGGCAUCUGAAGUCCAGUGUGGCAAGGAGAAAACAGGUCUUCAUCGAAUCUACUGGUUCUACAUCUUAUUGAUACAGAAAAUGUUGAGAAUCCCAAAUUUGACUGGUUUGAAGAACAUGUGAAGGAUUUGACUAGAUGAUGAAGGCCAAUAUUAAUUCUGCUGGAGUUUUAUGCAGAAGACAAAGACAGACAACAUCCAAAAUGAAGAGAGGAUUUCCUUAAAUGUGACUUAAGAAAUAUGGACACUUAAAACUCUACCUUGAAAAACAAAUAGAUUUUCUCUUACGUAGAGAGAAGCAAUGGGGUGUGGAAUGGAGAUUCAGUUUUCAUUUGGUACAUUAAAUAUAUAGGGCCAUGAAAUGAUUAGGUAACAUAAAAGCUUCCAUGAUUCUAUUUAUGUGUACGUUAGAAGGAACCUCCAGGUGUUACUGUAAAUUCUACAUGUACUGUUUCACCAAUACUAAUUUAAUGCUGAUAAGCUCUAGAUAAAAGUUUUACAUUGUUAAGCUAUCACUGUUCUCUUGGGAACUGAACUCUUUUAUUUCUGAGGCUUUGGAUUUGACAUUGUAUUUGACUUUUUAUGUAGUAAUUGACAUGUGCCAGUGCAAUGAUGUAUUGGAAUCUACCCACCAGUGCAAGCAUAAUGAAUAAACCUUGCUUAUACACUUGUAAAAUCAGAUGGUAGGCAUUUCCCAUCACAUUCCCAUCCACCAACAGCACCAGAUUCAUUUAGCUAAACUGAUUCCAAAGAGUAGAAGUACAUUGACCUCAACCAAUUUCAAAAUGCUGCAUUUUUGUUUCUGCAUAUAUUGAAUACUUUUUACAAUUUAAUAAGUGGUCUGUUUUGAAAGAAAAAUUGACAGGUCUUAAAAUUUAAAAGGCAAAUGUGAAGGAGCCAAAAGUAAAUAAUGUAUCCAGUAUUUGGGAAGUGAGGACUGGAACCUAUCCUGCAUUAAAUUCGCAAAAACUUUUAUACUCUUUCUGUAAAUACUUUUUUUAACUUUAUGAAUCAGAGUAGCCACAUUUGGAACACUUUCUGUAUCAGUUAAUAUUUUUUAGACAGUUAGAACUUGGUCCUAAGCCUAAAGUUGGCUUGAUUCUGGAAAGUAAAUCUUUUACAACUGCCUCAAUGCACAGAAACCUUUUUAAAAAUAGAUACCCUAUGAAGUUUUUGUUCGCAUGGUCACACACUGAUGCUUUGAUGUCCCAGUAUCUAAUAUGGCCACAGUAGUCUUGAUAGCCAGUCAUUUUUUACCCCCUCUAGAAUCCUACGUGGGAACAACCAGAUCCAACAAGCUACUGUGUGUGUGAAUGAACACUCCCUUUUGCUCUAUAUGUGAAUGCUAUACAUCUGUUUUGGAUUGUAUAUUGUGUUUGUGUAUUUAUGCUUUGAUUCAUAGUAACUUCUCAUGUUAUGGAAUUGAUUUGCAUUGAACACAAACUGUAAAUAAAAAAUGGCUGAAAGAGCAA
Long non-coding RNA from Choloepus didactylus (southern two-toed sloth), 1848 nucleotides. RefSeq lists it as uncharacterized. NCBI's taxonomy places the organism in Eukaryota, Metazoa, Chordata, Mammalia, Pilosa, Megalonychidae. The record is from RefSeq and is a predicted model, not a curated record. The transcript is spliced from 2 exons.